GACGAACGCUGGCGGCGUGCUUAACACAUGCAAGUCGAACGGAAAGGCCCUGCUUUUGUGGGGUGCUCGAGUGGCGAACGGGUGAGUAACACGUGAGUAACCUGCCCUUGACUUUGGGAUAACUUCAGGAAACUGGGGCUAAUACCGGAUAGGAGCUCCUGCUGCAUGGUGGGGGGUGGAAAGGUUCGGCGGUUGGGGAUGGACUCGCGGCUUAGCAGCGUGUUGGGGGGGUAGUGGCUUACCAAGGCUUUGACGGGUAGCCGGCCUGAGAGGGUGACCGGCCACCUUGGGACUGCGAUACGGCCCAGACUCCUACGGGAGGCAGCAGUGGGGAAUAUUGCACAAUGGGCGGAAGCCUGAUGCAGCAACGCCGCGUGCGGGAUGACGGCCUUCGGGUUGUAAACCGCUUUCGCCUGUGACGAAGCGUGAGUGACGGUAAUGGGUAAAGAAGCACCGGCUAACUACGUG
Molecule: ribosomal RNA, 468 nt
Filed under: uncultured bacterium
Lineage: Bacteria
Description: partial 16S ribosomal RNA
Rfam family: Bacterial small subunit ribosomal RNA
Source: RNAcentral